Molecule: long non-coding RNA, 1225 nt
Filed under: Olea europaea subsp. europaea
Lineage: Eukaryota; Viridiplantae; Streptophyta; Magnoliopsida; Lamiales; Oleaceae
Source: RNAcentral
GUUCUUCUUUACUAUUAACACAAUAUAGGAUGAGAUUGUUUUAAUUGUUUCGGGCUUCAGUAUAGUAAUUUCAAUUAUUGAUGUUUGAUAUGAGAUAUAUGCAUGUGAUACAUGGUAGAAUUGGUACUGUAAUUCGAAUUGCAUACUUUUGUUAUUGUGAGCAUGCUGUAGCGGUUAAGUUCUUGUAUAUAACUUGGUGCAAUUACUUGAUCACUAGCAUUACUCACUUUGUAUCAAAUAUCACUGUUCUUGUUUCAAGAUUGUGUUUACAUUUCUGCCUGAAUUCUUGAAAUUUUUCAAAACCAUUUUUUGCUCACUAGUUGAUCUUUAAUUCAAGAUUAAACUAUGUCCAUGAGUAUAGCCACCUUUUUAAAGAACCCGUGAUGGGUUCGAAGGUCGAAUUGUCUCAAUUCGAUGGAAAGGGGGAUUACUUUAUAUGGAAGCAGAGAAUGAGAGCUAUUCUGGUUCAACAGAGGGUCGCUAAGGCCCUUGAUGAUCUUGAAACUUUUUCUACCGAACUUAAGGCAAAAUCAAAUGAAAUUGAAGACAUGAAUGAAAUUGCUUAUAGUUCCAUAAUUUUACAUUUGUCUAAUAACAUAGUGAGACAAGUUGAUGAAUCCAAAACUAUUAGAGCCCUAUGGAUUGCACUUGAUGCUAUGUUCUUAACUAAAACACUACCAAAUAAAAUUUAUCUCUUGGAAAAGCUGUUUAGCUUUAGGAUGGACCCUGGGAAGGACUUAGAGGUAAAUUUGAGUGAAUUUAGUAUCAUAGGGAAAAGCCUUGCACGUAAUGAGAAGAAAUUUGAUGACGAAGACUUUGCUGUAAUUCUUCUAAACUCAUUACCAGAUUCAUAUAAAGAUGUUAGAAAUGCAAUAAAAUACUCAAGGGAUAAACUGACUCAAACUAUAGUCAUUGAUGCUUUAAGAUCUAGGGAUUUAGAAGUCAAAAAGGAAACAAAAUCUAAUCCUAGAGAAGAAAAUAUGUUUAUAAGAGGAAGAUCUGAAAAGAGAGAAUGUUUUUUCACAAAAAAGGGAAAUGAAUAUCUAAAAUCAAAUCUAAAUCUAGAGAUAAAAGCAACAAGAAGUGUUACAAUUGUGGAAAAAUGGAACGCUUCAAAAAGGACUGCUUCGAACUGACGAGUGUGUUUUACUCACGAGUUUAUGCAAAUUUUAACUUGAUUUUAAUCUAGAAUUCACGAGUAUAGAACGUUUUUAAUGUGUGUAUU